UGCGCCUAAUUGAUGGGGUAGUGGCCUUGGGGAGUUGUGCAAAGACCCUUUAGACUUUAGCUGAAUAGCUCUUGAGUGGUUAUUCUUUCUAAGCUUCAUGAUUUUUUCUUUUCUUCAUUCCUAUAAAUGGCACCAGUCUGUUGCCAUCAAUCCUAUAUGGAUCUAUGAAACAACAAAUAAGGUUCGGAAAGCUCACCAAAUUGGAUCCAACUGAGUCUUAUGAUGCUCAAGUUAGAGAGGGUU
RNAcentral lists this long non-coding RNA (243 nucleotides) under Elaeis guineensis (African oil palm). RNAcentral describes it as "long non-coding RNA (EGUI_LNC048183)". The record is from RNAcentral. Lineage: Eukaryota; Viridiplantae; Streptophyta; Magnoliopsida; Arecales; Arecaceae.